Molecule: long non-coding RNA, 1225 nt
Organism: Clupea harengus (Atlantic herring)
Lineage: Eukaryota; Metazoa; Chordata; Actinopteri; Clupeiformes; Clupeidae
Source: Ensembl
UCGCAACGGAAGCCAGCUCCCUUGUGAAAGUCCUGCCUUGGCCCCUCCCGCGCACGCGUGGGGCUGAGAAGGCAGCCACAAUAACGAGGCCAUAUGUUACCAGUCCUCCUCAUGCCGUGUUUGAUGUCCAGAUGCCAGGAGCGGAGAGAGCCGCUCCUCCGUCUCAGAAAGCCCUAUCUCUGGCUGACGCAACCAUCACUCUUCUCCAGCAGGGGGGGGGUGGCGGUGGGAGGGUGUUGAGCACUGGUGACUCGGUAGCCUCGGUGCUCCGUUCCCGGAGCGGGCGACUGCGGUUCGCGCUCGCCACGGGGGGGCCCAGUGCUAGAGCCUGGGCACCACUCGUCAGAUGGCACGGGAGGCUAAUGAGACUUCAUCAUCCUGUCCCACAACAUUUGGGGGCGAGCCGCACUGAACACAGAGUCCGGGUCGGCAGCCAAGCCCGACAGCGAACAGAUUCACCCAGGGGCUAGACAUGACGGAAGAGACGAGGGACAGAGGGAGGCUAGAGGAAGGGAAGGCCAAGAUGGGAGAGGCCAAACGGAGUGCUGCUCCGGUGCCACUGUUCGAACGGAUACGAGUGAUGCCGACGUGAAUAGGAAGGAAAAUUAGUGAAUCAUCUGGGUUUUUUUUUUUUUUUUCACCAUUUCAAAAUGUUGUUAGGGUUUGACACUUUAACAGCAUUGUAUUCAGGCAGGCCCUCUUUUCCCCCUUGAACACAGACAUGACAUCAGGGCUGUACGUCUGCACUGAUGAAUGAGCUUAUGUAGAUGACUCUGGUUGUGGUCCUAUUCUUCAAAUGCUAGUCGACUAUUUUAUGAAUACGCGAGGCUCACUUUGUAUGUGCGGAAGGUAAACACAUGACUUUGGGGAUAAAGCUCGGGUUACGAUCGAGGCGAUAAAGAUCCCUGAGAUGACUCAACCGUUUAAAGCCUUCCACCGCAGCCGCUAAAUCUUCGCUCAUCUUCCCCCUGUCAUUUUCAAAUAUUGGCCAAAUUGUAGGUGUUUUAAAAGGCUUGAGAUGUAAUCAGCUGCUAAGCACUGGUAAUUCCCCCUAUAAGUGAGGCUUAUAAAAGAGAUUAGGCGGGUUUAGAUCAGACAUCUCGCCUCUGAGGUAGCCGGGCUCUGUCGCCAUGGAGAAAGGGCCCCCGACUCUCUCCAGCAGUGGCAGGGAGGAAAGCUGGACAGCACUGGACUGCACCAUGUGUUCAGCCUUAAGGGAGCACAG